RNAcentral lists this long non-coding RNA (15354 nucleotides) under Brassica napus (rape). RNAcentral describes it as "long non-coding RNA (BNAP_LNC006224)". The stretch from base 8252 to 8332 matches the Rfam family "tRNA". Lineage: Eukaryota; Viridiplantae; Streptophyta; Magnoliopsida; Brassicales; Brassicaceae. The record is from RNAcentral.
GAAAAAAAUUAUUUACCUUACAUACUUCUCUCUUCUUUAUUUUCUCUCCCUUCUCUCUAGAAUCUUCUGAUCUCAGAUCGUAGACUUUGUUCAUCGGCUCCGGUGGCUCUCUUAGCACCGGAGCCGGUAUCUUUUUCUUAUGUCCUUUUCGUUUAGUUUGUUUGUGAUGUAAGGGGAUUUUGUUUCGACGCAAAAUCAUUCGGUGAUGCUUUAUUGAUGCUGUCAAAAUUCUUUUGGCUGUGAUUUAGUCUGGUUAAGCGGCUAGAGGUUCUGGAUCUUAUGGAUCAUUGGAGUGGCUUGUCCUUUUGCCUCUCUUGUCGUCUCAAUCUAGUUCUAGAUCUGUGGUUCAACUCAGUUUUCCCUUGCAUGCUCACCGUUUGAUCUCAGAUUUAACAAUGAUGUCUUUAUGGUGAUUGUUUCUAAUCUUGAUCUGCAUGGCCUUGUUCUCCGUGGCUUCUUUGGAUCUUGCCGGAUUCGAUCCUUCCUACUCUUGUUCGCAUGAGAUUGGUUUGUUCGGUCAAGAUCGUAACCGCUCCUUGUCAUUUCCCAUGAGAUCUGGUCGUGAUCUCGCUUCUUUGACUCGCUUCUCAUUAGGCGCUCCACCGUCGCUCUCUGUCGACUUCGCCGUUCGGAAGUUGGAUCUCGAACCGUUAUCGGUUCUUUCCUUCCGGUUUGGAAGCCGUGCUUGAUUAUUCUACGCUUAUUCACUAUAGGUGGGUUAAGUUAUCAACACAGUUUUGGUAACUCUUGUCAGAGGCCUGGAGGAGUAAGGUUGAUUUAUGCGAUUGGGUUUGAACUUCAUCAUUUGGACUGCAUCUGUCUCGUUUAUAUUUGUUACGUCGUUUCAUUCCCCUGUGUUUAGUUUUACUUGUCUUAUGUUUCUAUCUUGUUUCCCUUUGAUAGGGCUUACUUUCCAGAAGCACUCAGUUGCUUGCUGGCCUAGUUUCCAGAAGUACUCGUUGCUUGCUGGCUUUGUAUCUUACAACCGCAUUCCACCAUGUAUCUCAUCUUAAUAAUAUAAUUUUAGUGUUUAAAAAAAAAAUGAAAAAAAUUAUUUAAAUCAAGUCAAAUAUUGAUGCUUUGAUUGGAAGUAAAAAAAGAGUUAAUUAGCUCAGUAUACACAAAUCUAAAAUGCUGGUAAGAGAUAAGAAUCUAUUGAGUGAACAAAUUAAAUAAAUAUCUAUUUACCCUCCUGUACCUCAGUUUUUAACUGUUUUUAAGUUUUGAAAAACUCUCAAGACACUAGUUUUUAUUUUUAUUGGCUUAUACAUUUUCGCAUUUUAAAAUCUACUUAUAUAAUUCAAAUAUACUGUAUAUUUUUUUGUUGGUAAAGUAUUUAUAAGAUUUUUCUUAUCAAUAAUGAUGUUCUAAAAAACUGACGAAAGUACAAACCAAACACUAGUUUUGCAUGUUAUCACUUAUCAGGUUAGUUGUAGACUUCAAACACAAACUAUAAUAUACGGAAAGUGGAUUUAAUUAAAUUAAUACAUUAAUUAAUCUCACUAAACCAAGUUAAAAAGUCCAUCACACUCUUCCUUCCCCCGCGCUGUGUGUGUGUGAGUGUGCCUCUCUCUCCCCCACCACUCCAUUAUCUCUUUCUCUCUCACAGAGAGAAGACAAUGCCUUCUUCCGGAGAUCCCUCGACAACAAUCGGCCAACACAUCAGACACCAACCCAUGAACCUCCCACCAUUUCCCACCUCCGACGAGCCUCUAAUCCCCAAACCCAGCCGCAUCUGUAAAUCCGCCAUGUCUACCUUCUUCCUCUUACCUUCAUCGUCCAACGAACCCAACAACAGAAGAAAGGGGAAGAAACAGACGACGUCGUCCUUUCGCAGCCUCGGCUGCACCUCCUCCGCCUCUCAGCAGGUUUCCGUCCCCGCCGUGAUCCGCUCCUCCGCGAACUGGGACGCGAGUGAUGUCAAAAGCAAGAAGACGAAGAGCAAGAAGAAGAACAAUGGUUGUAGUGGCUACAGUGGCGGUGGCUCGGUUAAGAUCUUGAGCGAGGCUGAACGAAGCGGUUGCGGUCCGGUUCCUGAUGUUUGGUGCGGACCCGGUGUCGGGUUUUCCACCGAUGCGGUGGUCUCCGGCACCGUCGAAGCGGAGCCUCCGAGUAGGAAUAUUCCGGCGAGACGCAAAAUCGAUGGAGAGGUUCCUUCUGUUAUUACAAAGCUUUCUGUCUUUUUAUUACACAAGUCUUGUCUUAAAACUCAAAACUGUUACAUUAUUUGCAGGGCUCUUCUGUUCCUCCCCGGCGAUCUCAUAAUCAAGAAACUAGUCUUUACUUUGACUCUGAUUUGACAUCGAGGGAUGAACAGAUGCAGACGCUUUUCUCUGAUAGAUACCAUCGUCAUCUACGACAACCUUACCCUAAUGGACUCGACGAGGUAGAGAGUGUGUUCUUGACUAUGUUUCACUUCAGGUCUUAGCGAUCUUUGUGUUUGUGUGCAUUGUUUUCAUUUAGUUGUUUUGUUUGUAGAUGAUGAUGAUACAUAAUGGUUUUGUAAUGGGAGAGAUGUUAGGCUCUCACGAUCACUUCCGUGACUUGAGGCUCAACGUCGAUGGCAUGUCUUACGAGGUAAUGUUCCUUUCUUACAAGGAGAAUUUUUAACUCUUAUGUUUGUUUUUAAAAAAGUUUUGUGUGUUGUUCUGUUGUAUUAAAAAACAGCAACUUUUGGAGCUUGGUGAUAGAAUUGGGUAUGUGGACACUGGACUUAAUGAAAAACAGAUCAAAACCUGUCUCUGGAGAGUCAAACCAUCUCACAAAGCUACACCACUUGAAGAUAGAAAGUGCAGCAUUUGUCAAGUAAGUCCCUUAUGUGCUUUCAUUGUUCAGAUAUUCACUCUCCUUUGUAAACAACCCACGUUCUUGUGUUUGUUUGCCGACAGGAAGAGUAUGAGGGUAAAGACGAGGUAGGGAAGUUAAGAUGUGGGCACAGGUACCAUAUCCACUGUGCGAAACAAUGGCUGUUAAGGAAGAACUCUUGUCCCGUCUGUAAAACUAUGCCAUUUGCUUAAAAAGUCUUAGUUAGAUAGAUAUAUCUCCUCUCCUUUGACGAUGUUUUGCUAUUUUAUGUCUGAAAACAAAACUGGUUGAUGAAAGAUUUGUAAGGAACAGCAAUUGUUAUUACUUACCUAUGGAAGAAGUCACAGAGAGACAUUGUGAACCCCACAUUGCUUGUUGGUUAGAUCAAUCUUUUUGGUUGGUGAUUAUUAGGUCGGCAACUACUAAAAAGUGUUGGGUAGAUCUAACAUUGUUAAAUCACAUGAAAAUGAUGAAACUGUUACGUGCAAGUAACAUCUAGAGGUUAUCUACAUAAAUAAUGUGGCCAAUUCAAUGAUGUUACUGUACUAAUAAAGUCAUCAAUAUCACCACACAUUGUCUGUUUCAAAACACAUUCUGUAAUCUGUAGACUAUAGCACACUUACACUUCUUACUUAGCUUUUACUCGCGGGCUGUAAGGUCGAAAGAGGUGUUGAGCUAUAAGAAACUAAGCCAAAACUCUUAAGACGGAGACGAGAGUUUAUAGUUUCUCACAACAUAAGAAUGUACUUACUUACCUUCUGAUGCUGGCAAUAGAAUGAUGUGUUUAGCGACAUCUGAUGCAAGCGCCAGGCUUGGCAGUUGUAAGCGCCUCCGUUCGCUUCCAUUUGGAACCAACUCAAUGAGGCAAUGAGAGAAGGAAGAAGAUGAAGUUUGAGAUUGUUUUCUACUAUUGUGGGGUUUCAGCUGACCUAGAAUAUCUUCCAUUGUAGCUUGAACAGUGAUUGAAUCUAGCGGUUCCUCUGUUAUUACCUUGAGCCAACGAUGUGUCGUCGCAGAUUGCAAGAGGAUGAUUGAUUCAGGUCUACUGAGAGAGACAGCAAACGGAGCAUGAGGAAGGAGUGAGAGCCGAGAGGAAAGGAUAGCCAUGGUAGAUCAAGACAAGAUGCUCACUUACGUACAUUUUGGUUAGAAAACGAUGAUGCUUACGGAAUAAAAAAUGAACUAGAUUAAGACCCGUGCCUUGCACGGGAUGAACAUCGUAUAUAUAAAUUAUUUUACAUAUAGUAUAUUCUUUUAUAUAUUAUAAAAUAAUAUAUAUAUAUAUAUAUAUAUUAGAGAAUGAAAAAGUCAAUAACUAUUACGUAUAUAAUUAAAUUGGUGUAAGUACGUAAAUAAAUUUUAUUAAUCCAAACAAUCAGUUUUUCUAUUUUCUAUUUUAUAUAAUUAAAUUUACACAAUAUAUACAUAGAUAAACAGUAUAUUUUUAAUAGGUAUAUAUUGUUAAAUGAUGUGUUCUACUUAUUUGUAUCUUUUAUAACAAAAACUUUAAAUCGCUGAUAACAAAUUUUCAUUGUUCAAUAUUUUUGAAAGUUUUAGUAAUCUAUAAUUAGUUUUUAUAAACAUUCAAUGCAAAUUUUAAAAUUUAAAUAUUAAGUUGUUUGUAUUAGUUCAGAGAUUUUAUCCAAAAAAAAAUUGUUCAAAGUAAAUUUCAAAAUUAAAUUAUUUAUAUAUUUUCUAUGGUAUAUAAUUUAAUUAAAAGAUAUUAAUAUAUAUGAGCCUUUCUACUUACAUGCUUUUGUAGUAAUUUUUAUCUUGUCAUAAAAAUAAAUAAAUCAUGGGUCAUAAAAGUUUUAAUGUGAGAUUUUUUAAAAAGUUCAAAAUAUAACAUAUACGAAAAAAUAUAAAUUUUUAUUAUAUGGUUAAUGUGAUUGUUUAAUUUAUUUUAGUAACUUAAAGUUAAACAAAAAUAAUAGAGAAUACACUAAUUUAUAUCAAAUCUUUAUUAUUCAAAAUCAUUAAUUGUCAUAUAUACUUUAGCCUCAUUAGGCAAUUCCAUGAUUUUUAUUUAAGGAAAAAAUCGAGAACAUUAAUAAUUAAUUUAUGGUUAGUUUAAUAAAAAGUUUAUUAUAUAUUUAGAUGAACCAACUUAUUUCUCUAAGGAUUUUAAGAAUCAUUGUGGUGAUGACAUAUGUCUACCUCAAAUGUUGUAAUGUUUCUCUUUUAAUAUAUAAGGGAUGAAGAGGUUUUUCGGUCCGUAUAGUCAAAGUAUGUCGUUAAAAAGUCAAACUUCUUUGUUCUGUUUUGUUGCCACGAGGGAAAUAUUGUUACUAUAAAAGCAAAACAAAACUAAAUUGAAAAAAAAAAGAAAAACAGAACAGAAGAGAAGAGAGGAGAAAACGCAAUUGGUUACGAAUAUUUUUAAAAAAGAAAAAAAAAAACAAAUAUGGCCUUUGGGUUUUUGCCACAAAACACUUGAGGAUUUGUUGCCCCCUUCCUUCCCAAUUUUGCAGCCAUUUUUUACUCUUCCACCUUAACAGGGACUUGCAAUUUCUAAAGGUUUCAUCUUUUCUUCGAAAACACUCGCGUAUAUGAGCGGGGGCGAUCUCCCUAUCUCCGUCACAGACAUCAGGUAAGGGAACAUUGGAUUCACUUUCAUUGAUUUGCUUUAAGAUUUAGGGUUUAUGCUCCUUUCUUAUAUUGGAAGGUGAAAAAGUUUCGAACUUUCAAUACGCCCAGAUCGAUUUUUCUCACCAAAAGUGGACCCUUUGAUCUUAAAGGUUGUUUCUUUAUUGAUUUGCUAGGAUGGAGAAUGAGCCUGAUGACUUAGCUGUAGCGGAGAUUGACGUGAGCGAUGAAGAGAUUGAUGCGGAAGACCUUGAGAGACGGAUGUGGAAGGAUCGCGUCAGGCUCAAAAGAAUCAAAGAACGAACUAAAAUCGUUUCGUCUCAAACGAAGGAGACGCCUAAGAAGGUCUCUGAACAAGCGCAGAGGAAGAAAAUGUCUAGAGCUCAAGACGGUAUACUCAAGUACAUGUUGAAGCUCAUGGAAGUCUGCAAAGUCCGCGGCUUUGUCUACGGUAUCAUACCCGAGAAGGGGAAGCCUGUGAGCGGCUCCUCUGACAAUAUAAGAGCUUGGUGGAAAGAGAAGGUCAAGUUUGAUAAGAACGGUCCUGCUGCGAUUGCUAAGUAUGAAGAGGAGUGUUUAGCCUUUGGGAAGUCAGAUGGAGAUAGAAACUCGCAGUUUGUGUUACAAGACUUGCAAGAUGCUACUUUAGGGUCUUUGUUGUCUUCUUUGAUGCAGCAUUGUGAUCCUCCGCAGAGGAAGUAUCCUUUGGAGAAAGGGAUGCCUCCUCCUUGGUGGCCAAGUGGGGAUGAAGAGUGGUGGGUGAAGCUUGGGAUGGCUAAAGGACAGAGUCCUCCUUACAAGAAGCCGCAUGAUCUCAAGAAGAUGUGGAAAGUUGGGGUUUUGACGGCUGUGAUUAAGCAUAUGUCGCCUGAUAUUGCGAAGAUCAAGAGGCAUGUUCGCCAGUCUAAGUGUUUGCAGGACAAGAUGACGGCGAAAGAGAGCGUGAUUUGGUUGGCGGUUUUGAACCAGGAGGAGUCUCUUACCCCGCAGCCUAGCAGUGACAAUGGAGCUUCUAAUGUAACCGAGACGCACCGGAGAGGUAAUAACGCUGAGAGGAGGAGAAAGACAGUGAUCAAUAGUGACAGUGACUAUGAUGUUGAUGGGAGGGAAGAGGCUUCAGGUUCAGUUUCUUCUAAAGACAAUAGAAGAAAACAAACUCAAAAAGAACAACCAACAGCCACUUCACAGCCAGUAAGAGAUCAAGAUAAAGCGGAGAAACACCGGAGAAGGAAAAGACCUAGAAGAACUGUCAAUGGACAAGAGGAAGAACAGCCAGAAACUGAACAAAGAAUUGUAUUACCUGAUAUGAAUCAUGUUGAUGCUCCUCUGCUAGAAUAUAACAUCAACGGUACUACUCAUCACCAAGAGGAAGGUGUUUUAGGACCAGAGGAGAACAGUCUGGAGUUGGUGAUCCCUGAGUUUAAUAACAACUAUACUUAUCUUCCUCCUGUCAAUGGACAAGCUAUGAUACCUGUAGAGGAAAGGUCAAUGCUUUACGGACCAAACACUAACCAGGAGUUGCAGUUUGGGUCAGGUUACAACUUUUAUAAUCCCUCUGCAGUGUUUGUGCACAAUCAGGAAGAAGACCUUAUCCAUACACAGAUAGAAAUGAACCCACAAGCACCGCCUCAUAACAAUGGAUUCGAGGCUCCAGGAGGAGUACUUCAACCCCAUAAUUUACUUGGGAAUGAAGACAGCGUCACAGGAAGAGAUUUGCCGCCUCAGUUUCAGAGCGAUCAAGAUAAACUCUUGGACAGUAACACUCUAUCUCCAUUCAGUGACUUGGCGUUUGAUAGCAACACCUUUUUCUCUGGGUUUGAUUCCUAUGGUGUUGAUGAUCACUUGUCAUGGUUUGGAGCUUAGUCUCUUAACAUUUUUUUGUUGGGAGGUUACAUGGUAAGUUUGUGUCACAUAUCUUAUAUAUUGUACUCUUAGUUUAUUAUCAGUUUUCAUGAAUUGUCUUAAAUAUUUCUUUUACUGGGUAUGUUGCAGGUUCAAAGGAACAUGGCAAUAGUCUGACUUGUACAGUUACAUUCUCUACUGCUGAUCUUAGGAUUUGUUAAGAGAAACAAUUGUUUUCCUUUUGAAUAAUUUGCCAGACACUUCUGCUUGAAAGCAGUGAGUGUGUCUUUUGUAAAUUAGCCCUGUGAAUAAUUCAUAAAGUUAAUAGAAUGAUGAUCUUUUUGUCUGUUCAAGUUUCAUCUUCAUAUCUUCAUGUACUAUCUGAGUUUGAAUCUCUCUGUGUUUUUUGAAGGGUAAGUAUGAACUUGAUGAUGAGGUCUUUGACCUUAACCUUCACAUGCUUUGCAAAGAUGGUUGAUAGAAAACUUGUCCACCGAAGCUUUGUUAUUAACUUCCAUGUAUCACAACUGAUAAGAAUGCUCUUCGACUCACGCUAGAGUCAAUGCCAUCAUCUCAUCGCUCUCAGUUGGAUUUUACCUCGAUACCUUGAGAUAUAUAUACUGACUGGAUCUGAGAAACUCUUUGUUCCGAGUGAAGGCUUCUCUCCUCUCGGAUAUUCCAUGGAGAUUGUCAUCACCUUUAAACUGAGGCAAGUCCGAAUUAGAAUCAGUUCCAGAACAUCUCUGUCUCUUUCUCUUAUCAUGAGCUUUGAUGUUACAUUUGAUAAGGUAGGCAAAUUAUUUUGUGACCAAUCUUUUUACUGUGGGACGGUGUAUCACGACCAGGUGCCUUAACCGUCUACCUCUUACCACUCACAUGGACGCUCCUCCAACCACUAUGCUUUUAAAUUUGACAAGCCUAAGUUUUCAGUGUCCCCUCUAAGUCCUUCCAAUUCUAUGAGCAAAGUCUAUUUUAUAUUUUUGGUCUAAUAUUCUUGUUACUCUCAAACGAGCAACAAGUUGAUAUGGCCGAGUUGGUCUAAGGCGCAGGAUUAAGGUUCCUGUCCGAAAGGGCGUGGGUUCAAAUCCCACUGUCAACAAAUUCUUUUUUUGGGUGUGUUUUUAAUACGCUGACAUGUGACAGUGUGGCUACUGGCUCCGCCCGUUAAUUUCAUUAGUUGUCUUUUUUUCUUUUGUUUUUAUUGCUGUCCCUUUGGAAGGUACUGAGUCUAGUGACUAGUGAGCAAUAAUAUUGUUGCCUGAAGACAAUAUCUAUGCUCUUUUUUCUGAAAAAAGAACAAGUAAAUAUCUAUGCUGAGGUUGUGGCGCUGAGAUUAAAUGUAACGGAAGGACCAUUAAGUUUGUUAUUCACACACUUCCAAUAUACAUCUAACGGAACAGAAGAGAUACAUUGGAAGGUCGAGAACAAACAACAAUUCGAUAUCUAUUAGUCUCACAAUUGUCUAAUGGAUCUUCUGAAAAUAUUUUUGUUUAUUCAAGUAUAGGUAAUUCACAUUUGCUUAUUUUGGUUCAACAUGGUUGAUGUUAGUGUCAAAUAGAUGGUUCAUGGAAACAUUUGAUCAUAUUUUCAGGAUAAUAUUCAAUGAUUCAACAAACAUGAGGGAGUAAAACGUUUAGAAAUGGAGGCAGGCUAUAAAUGUAAAUGUAAUUUCCACUAUUUUAUGUGCAUUACAGUCAUUUUUUUGAGUUAUGGAAUUUUGAUUGUAUAUAAAUUCUUUUUUUUUUGCAGUUUGGAACCAUACCGAAAUAUAACUAUUUUAUGAAUUUAUUAUAAUAUAAAUUAAUUUUUCAUUAAUGUACAUUUUUGGUAAUAACCUGCAAAGCUUCUAAUUGUAAUAACCAACUAGGAUAAGACCCGCGCCUUACGCGGAAUUAAGUUAUUAUUUUAUUAUAUUUUGGAGAAUGAAACAAUAGUUUGGUUUCAUUUGGAUUAGGGGUGUUCAAUCCAGAUAUCGGGUUGGUUUUGGUUCGGUUCGGUUUUUUUCGGUAUUUCGGUUAGUAAAAUAUAACUACUAUUCUAAAUCCAUAUUUGCUUUGACUUUAGUCUUCCACAUAUUUUUGAAAGAUUUCAGCUGGACGGCUAAAUUGAUCAGCCAAUCUUGUUGCUUUAAAUCAUUAGUAUUUAUAUAUAUAUAUUAUUUAGUUUGAAUAUUUAUUAAAUAAAAAUUCAUAUGUGUUAUAUUUUUAUGAUCAUUAAUCAUGUGUAUCUUCUUAUAAUAUUAAAUAAAAGUUCAUAUUAAUACAAUUUUAUGAUCAUUUGUAACUUAUUAUGACAAAAAAAUAAUCUAUUGAUCACAAAAUUUUCAGAGUGGGAUCUUCAAAUUUCUAAUAAUUUAUAGACGUUUUGAAAAAUUUAAAAGAUAACAUAUAAGAAAAAAUGUAAAUGUUUUUAUUAUAUAUUUAAUGUGAUUUUUGUAAUGUAUCAUAACUUCAUGAAGAUUUAAAUAAAUACUUUCAAAGUUAGAGAUCUUUUUAGAAUUAGUGACGAGAUCUACAUAUAGAUAGGGCUACAAAUUUUACAUUACUUCCACUUUACAAAUAAUGUUUUAGAAUUAUGAUUUUGUCACGUUGGAUUUUUUUAUAGAAAAAAAAUGCUUAGCAAGAUCUUUUAUAUCUUUUUGAAGCUUCUCAUGUACUAAUACAGUAGAAUAUGUAGUGUAGUAAACCAUAGUAACAACAGAUAUAAUAUAAACUUUAUUUAUUUGUGUGAGGAAAUAUUAAACGGAAAAUCUUCUAUAAAACAUAUAAAAGUUCAUCGUAAGAGUAUUUUAUAACUUGUUUUAGUGAUGGAAACAGGUAAGACAAGAAGUAGAAUAUGGAAUAAGUAAAAGACUUCGAUCAUUAUCUCGGUCACCGUCGUUUUGUGUUGAAGCUCGGGAGAGUAUUGCUCCGACAUUAAAGCUAAUGUUUGCAAAGAAUCUAAAGAAACCAAUAUUCACGGGAAGUAAAAUCAUUGACGAGGACAACAAUCCACUUCAGAUCAUCCUUGUUGAUGACUCAAACAAUGAUCAUUCCAUCGCUCCGGUGAAUCUCGACCGUCGUCCGAUCAGACUAGACAUCGUUGCCCUUCAUGGAGAUUUUCCUUCGGGUGAUAAGUGGAGUAGUGAUGAGUUUGAUCGUAACAUCGUCAAAGAAAGGGAUGGUAAAAGGCCGUUACUUGCUGGAGAAGUAACUUUGACCAUGAGAAACGGCGUUGGAACUAUUGGAGAUAUUGAGUUUACAGAUAACUCUAGUUGGAUUCGUAGCCGAAAGUUUAAAAUAGGCGUGAGAGUUGCGAAAGGGAGUAGCGAUCAAGGCGUUGCGGUUUGUGAAGCGAUGACCGAAGCAUUUAAUGUAAGAGAUCAUCGUGGAGAAUGUAAGUUCCUUUUCCUGAUCUUUGCUAUAAGUUACCCUAACUAGUCAUUAUUAACAAAGAUAAUUGUGCAUAUACUUUGGCUUUUAUAGAUUCAUUGAUUAAAAGCACUCCACUAGACAUGUGAUCGUAACAUAUCAUCACAAGAAACAUGUUUCCAUUAUCUUUGACCUAACCAUAUAUGAUUACACUAUCAAUCACACACCCUUAAUAUAUAGUUCUAUGCAACAUAUGUGCAAUAGAAAUACAUCAAAGUGAUAUUUUUUUGUCAAAACUUAUUGUAAUUGAUAUUUUAAUUUUUUUUGUCACAAACUAUUAAUAUUCAUCAAAUAAUAAACGGUACAUAUAUAGUAUUUUAUCUGUUUAAGAAUAAUCUUAGUUUUACUAACUAAAAUUUAUAUUAAGAAAUAAGUUACAUCAAAGUUGCUGUCUUUGGUCGAAUUAUUUUGAAAUCUCUAGUUGUUCUAGUCAUGAUGUCUUUUCUUUACAAAUAGUCUGAUUGUUUUGUCUCCACACAAACUAACAUUAAAAUUUUCAAUUUGUGUGCCAUUGACAAAUUGAACUUAUUUGCGGUGUGGACCAAAAGCAAACAAGUGUCAACUUUAUAUAAAUGCAACAAGUCUUAGUCAAUGCUUACAUAUAUUAUGGUUAUGAACCAUUGCUUAUAUUAAAUUACUAAUACAUCGUGAAAUCAUAUUUCCCGAAGCAUAAGCAGAUAUAUAAGGAAUAAAGUACAUACAUAGCGACAAUCAAAUAAUACAAGUUUAAAUCAAUUGUAUUAAUAGUUUUUGUUUUGUACUACUUGGGGUUGGUGAAGUGUACAAGAAACAUCAUCCACCCAUGUUAGAAGACGACGUGUGGCGACUAGAGAAGAUAGGCAAAGAUGGGGCCUUUCACAAGAAGCUCUCUGCUGAAAACAUCAACACUGUUCAAGACUUUUUGAAGUUAUCCGUCGUUGACCUCGACAGACUCCGUCAAGUAAAGCUAUUAAUAAUUUAAUUUGUCUUUAUUAUCUAUAUACCUAUCAUGUUUUUGUGAGAAAUUUGAUUGUCUGACUAAUAAGGGUUUGUUUGUUUGGUUACAGAUUUUGGGCCAAGGAAUGUCUGAUAAAAUGUGGGAUGUCACAUAUAAACAUGCUCGAGAGUGUACAUUAGGAAAUAAGUUAUACAUUCACAGAGGACCUAACAUUUUGUUGACCUUGAAUCCAAUAUGCGAAGUGAUGGAAGCAGCGAUCAACGGUCAGGUGUUUUCCAAUGAAGAAGCGCUGAAUCAGGUAUAUAUCUUUCUACUUUGAAUUAGAAAUCAUCUUUUGAAAAAAAAAUGUGUUUUUAUUUCGUUAAUGGUAACAUUUGGUUGCAGCUCAAUAUUAAGAAGCUAGCUCGACAAGCUUACUCAAAGUGGGAUUUCUUAGAAGUGAUUGAAAGAAAAACGAACGAGGUUCCUCUUUUGACACAAGGUAAUUUGAAAUACAGUUGUUAGUACAACUAUUUUUAAAGGUGGUCAUAGUAAGUUAUAAUACAAUUUUGGUCAUAUAGGUCAUACUAUGGACCAGCAAUAUGGUGCAAACCACUACCACACCAUUGAAAUCAACAAAUCGUAUCAACAAAACGGAUAUGCUCUAGAGAGAUCUCCUAACAAUUUGGAGAUGAUAAACGAAGGGUAUAUUACGACCACUCCAAUGGAAUUCGGUGUAUGUUUCAACGUUACCGGAUCUUCGUCCCAAAGUCAUAUGAACCCUUUCGAAAAUCCUCAUCUACGUUAGUAUUGGAACACGAAGCCUGUUGUGCCUUCACACGAUGGUUAAACUCUUUCCAAAUAAGGGUGUAAUUUAUUAUAUAUACAAUGGUGAAAACAUGGAUUAUAUAUAUAUAUGUGUUAUGUGUAUCUGUAGAUCAUUGUUGUAUAGGAAUGUGUGAAAUUUCAAAAAGAGUUAACAUUUUUAGCUGAAUGGUAUUAUAGUUGUUUACAUUUUUCAUGUUUUGACAACAUGAUGCAGUUGUUUUUUAACCAUUCAGAGUAUUAAUCAAAGUUUUACGUUUUACGUGUUUGAAAAAUAACCAUUCAGAACAAGUUAUUACUAAUUUUUUUCUCCCGCUAUUCCUUCAGUCUACUAUUCAUUCGGAUACAAUUUAUCACACCAAUCACCUAUUGAAUUUGAUUAAUGAACCAUGAGAAAUGUGUAAUAGACAACUAGUGGUGACACAAGAAAUCAAUAACAGAGGAGGGUAACUUUAUGAUUCAUGAAGGCCCCUCAAAAGCAUUGAGUGAAGAAGAUGUGUGUAGUAGUAGUAGUAGGUAGCCUUUGGGUAAGCCGUAAGUGUGUGAUAGUGUUCAUAUUUCUUUCAUAAGACUACAGCUCAAGAACACUCGAUAAGGCUAUAUAUUUCAAGAACCACUCGAUAGUUAAAACAUACAGAAAAAAAGAAAACAAUCGCAGAUGUUUUAGUAUUGAUCCAUCUUCCAAAGGAUUUGAAUUAUUAUUAUCUUAAGCUUCUGCCAAAGUUGUUGCCAGAUUCGUGCCGAAGCUCCUUGACAACAGCAGCUAGAGCCUCAGGGUUAAGACCAAGAUCACAGAGAGCUAUUAGAACAGACAAGGUAUGUCGAUCGAGACCAGUGUCCAAGAUGUUCGACAUCCGAAACACAAGCUCCAAUGACUCUCUUGCAGUUUCAGCUGCCUCUUGAUCCAUUUACUCUGGCCACAAAGAUAAAUCAAAUUUCAUUUCCAAAAUAUACGAAAAGAUUUCUACUUUUUAUAUCAUGUAACUGAACAGAUCUCAUGUCGGAGAUUAUCGACAAUCGAAUGCUCAAAAGUUAAAUUGGAUCCCUAUAGAGUCAAAGGAAACAAACCGAUUAUGCAACGGAGACGAUGAACGGCGACGAAUCUGAGAUCUCAGAGCUUGAGAGUUGAGAGAUAAAAGAGUCGAUGAAGGAGGAGACGAAGUGAAUGCGUAAACGGGCCAGAAGUUAGAUUGCUAGAUAUUUUUUUUAAAAGCCCAUUAGGCCUGGUUCGAAGAAAGUUAAAGAAAACCACUUUCGUCUAAGUUGAGUGAUCAGGACCUAGCUUAAGGCCGAUUAGUUGAAAUUAUAAGAACGUUUCUUUUGACUAAUGUAUCAUUUUCAAACAAAAUAUAAACAGAAAAAAGUAAGAUUCUAUUAUUUUAUUUCGUGUUAGAUUGUUCUUGUGAAUCACGACUAAAAUAAUUUGGCAACCUAAAAUAACAGUAUUAUUUGUCGUGGAGUUUUUGGGCCAUGCUCCGAGGAGAAUAAAGUUGAGAGUCUUGAGACUUUCGAACUCUGGUUUUGCACCUAACAGUCUUCCACGAUUUUUCAUUUUUUAUUUUUUAUUCAUCUAUUUUCCAUCAAAACCGGACCAAUAUUCUUUGGGUAAUUGUGUUAAUCCAAGUGGCAGGUUUUGUAUAAAGAAAUUUACAGAUUCUUUUCAGUUUUGUGGUCAGCAUAAUCAAAAACCUGUGACCCUCUAGUGCAUCCUGUCGUCUUUCUUACAUCGAAUAAAUAAAAAUUGAAAUAUAGCUCUGACAAAUAAGAAAAGUAAAAGUCAUGAGAGACCUUUUCUACAUAUACAAGCAAAGACAAUAAGAUUUCCACCUUUAUCUUCGUGGCAAAAGUGAACAUAAUGAAAAAAAUUAUUUACCUUACAUACUUCUCUCUUCUUUAUUUUCUCUCCCUUCUCUCUAGAAUCUUCUGAUCUCAGAUCGUAGACUUUGUUCAUCGGCUCCGGUGGCUCUCUUAGCACCGGAGCCGGUAUCUUUUUCUUAUGUCCUUUUCGUUUAGUUUGUUUGUGAUGUAAGGGGAUUUUGUUUCGACGCAAAAUCAUUCGGUGAUGCUUUAUUGAUGCUGUCAAAAUUCUUUUGGCUGUGAUUUAGUCUGGUUAAGCGGCUAGAGGUUCUGGAUCUUAUGGAUCAUUGGAGUGGCUUGUCCUUUUGCCUCUCUUGUCGUCUCAAUCUAGUUCUAGAUCUGUGGUUCAACUCAGUUUUCCCUUGCAUGCUCACCGUUUGAUCUCAGAUUUAACAAUGAUGUCUUUAUGGUGAUUGUUUCUAAUCUUGAUCUGCAUGGCCUUGUUCUCCGUGGCUUCUUUGGAUCUUGCCGGAUUCGAUCCUUCCUACUCUUGUUCGCAUGAGAUUGGUUUGUUCGGUCAAGAUCGUAACCGCUCCUUGUCAUUUCCCAUGAGAUCUGGUCGUGAUCUCGCUUCUUUGACUCGCUUCUCAUUAGGCGCUCCACCGUCGCUCUCUGUCGACUUCGCCGUUCGGAAGUUGGAUCUCGAACCGUUAUCGGUUCUUUCCUUCCGGUUUGGAAGCCGUGCUUGAUUAUUCUACGCUUAUUCACUAUAGGUGGGUUAAGUUAUCAACACAGUUUUGGUAACUCUUGUCAGAGGCCUGGAGGAGUAAGGUUGAUUUAUGCGAUUGGGUUUGAACUUCAUCAUUUGGACUGCAUCUGUCUCGUUUAUAUUUGUUACGUCGUUUCAUUCCCCUGUGUUUAGUUUUACUUGUCUUAUGUUUCUAUCUUGUUUCCCUUUGAUAGGGCUUACUUUCCAGAAGCACUCAGUUGCUUGCUGGCCUAGUUUCCAGAAGUACUCGUUGCUUGCUGGCUUUGUAUCUUACAACCGCAUUCCACCAUGUAUCUCAUCUUAAUAAUAUAAUUUUAGUGUUUAAAAAAAAAAUGAAAAAAAUUAUUUAAAUCAAGUCAAAUAUUGAUGCUUUGAUUGGAAGUAAAAAAAGAGUUAAUUAGCUC